Paramormyrops kingsleyae is the source of this 681-nucleotide long non-coding RNA. RefSeq lists it as uncharacterized. Lineage: Eukaryota; Metazoa; Chordata; Actinopteri; Osteoglossiformes; Mormyridae. The record is from RefSeq and is a predicted model, not a curated record.
UCGGCUGAGGUCCGGGUGUCUGAAGCACUGUAUCUCUUGAAUUGGCCGUGUCUUACGUGCUGCAGUCGGCCUUACUACACUGUAUUUUAAUUGGCCCGGUUAUGAUUUGAUGUUUCCCUGCCGUUGUUUGGCGCAGCUAGGCUGUUAUGCAGCAAACAGGUGCAAUACAGUAUCUGGCCCCAUACUAAUGGAAUGGACAUAGAUUGGUGUCAUGCCGUUUCGCGCCGAAAAAAAGUCAACACGAUAUACGGACAUUACUCGGUACACGGCCUCAUACUGUUAAACAACCAUUGGCCCACUACCUGCGGAACGGCCAUAGGCCGACUAUCAUCAGUGAUAUUAAGCCAGGACGGCGCCAAACGACCCUUUUUUCUACACCAUCUGUGCUACCAGCUGUUGGCUCCCUAGUCCCUUAAUCAGGAAGAAUGUGGGUUUCCCCAGCCAUAGCUAUUACUUUAGUGGGUCGUGAAGGGAGGAGCAUGGAGAACAUGUGUGGAAGUCCAGGAGUAUCGAAUAAAAGAAACAUGUAACAAUUCAUUCACUGCUUAUCUGAUGUGAGGUCACGGUGAGCUUGGAGACUAUCCCACAAAGCUCCGGGUACCCUGGAUGCCAUCCUGUCACCAUCGCUGAUCAGGUACUUAGUUCACACAAGCAGAGCAUGUUGUUUUAGAACUGUAGGCG